Fukomys damarensis (Damara mole-rat) is the source of this 1119-nucleotide long non-coding RNA. RefSeq lists it as uncharacterized. NCBI's taxonomy places the organism in Eukaryota, Metazoa, Chordata, Mammalia, Rodentia, Bathyergidae. The transcript has 3 exons. The record is from RefSeq and is a predicted model, not a curated record.
UUGUAUCAGUGGAGUCUCAGUGGAGUAUAUUUGUUUUCCAUAGGUGGAUCUAAAAAUUUUCAGAUGAAAGUAACAAGAUCUAAUUGAGCUUUUGGAGGUAGCUGUACUCCCCCUUCCCCUUUUUUGUUGAUGUAAUUGUGUCUUUAGGGAAAGGUGAGUAGAUCCAACAAUGGCUUGGCCCCCUGUGUUAUCCAGUGGACCUGUCACAAGGACUUACAAUGUGUCUGACUGACCUAGCUGUCUAUUGUUUUUUUUAUAAAAAGCAUCUCCAACUGUAGUUAGGGGAGAAAAGGCGCAGUUUCAGUCCACUUGCUUCAAGCUGAGAAAGGUUGAUGUAGGCAAGACUGCUGGUCGGCCUCUCUUCAGGGAGCUAAUUUAAUAGGCCUUAAAUAAAAAUCAUGUUGUAACUUAGCCAUUAUAAACUCUCUAUAUAAAGUCAAUCUGGUGGAUUUUGGUUAAAAAAAAUCUAGCACAUUUGUUAAACUUUUUUUUUUUUAAUUCUCUAGAAUUAAAUUGGGACAUUAAGGCAGUGAGGUAACAAAUGUAAAAAAAAAUUAAGGGCAGUACUGUACUUUUUUGCCCAUAAAGACAUUACAGUUAUAUGUUAGGAAAAUGGUUCCUUUAAUCUCAAAUGUGGAGAAGUCCAAGAACCAGAAACUCAGGCUGUGGGUUUGGUUUUUAAGGAGGUGAUUUUGGUCUUGCAGGACUGUACAGGGAGGAAAUGUAUGAAUGAGACUGCACUGAGCUGUUGAAUAUUAACAUUUGCAUGCGUAUGGCUUAUAACUUUCAUUUUAGAUCUUUGCUGAAAGAUGUUUAGGUCUGGAGAAAACAAAUAGAAGAGCCAGGAAAGCAAAAAGGGGAAAGAGUAGUUUGUGUAGAAUCUUCCUACUGCCUGGCUGCUGCUCUCUGAAAGCUGCGAGCCCUGUAGCUGCCACAGCAGGAGUGAGUCAGCAGUGUAGCUGGAAACUGUCAGUAGGGGCCAGUAACCGGAGCCCCUUCUCAAAUCCAGCCCUACCACCGUGGUCUUGACUUCACUAAUCUUUGGAUUACAUGCCUCAACUGGGUGAUCAACACCAAGCCAAGUACCGGGGAUUGAACUCAGGACCUUGCCCUUGUGAG